RNAcentral lists this long non-coding RNA (291 nucleotides) under Pan troglodytes (chimpanzee). Its description in RNAcentral is "lincRNA". Lineage: Eukaryota; Metazoa; Chordata; Mammalia; Primates; Hominidae. The record is from RNAcentral.
GAGAACAGCAUGUGGGAAACCAGGGAAACUGUCCCCAUGAUCCAGUGACCUCCCACCAGGUCCCUCCCUUGACACAAUAGAGAUUACAAUUUGAGAUGAGAUUUGGGUGGAGACACAGAGCCAAACCAUAUUAAGCCUGUUCUGCUGGGACACAGAAUCACUUGCUCCAUCUCAUACAUUGAUGAUGAUUAAUUUGUAUGUGUACCUUCCAAAAAAAGAUGGUUGUGUUUGAACGGAGGCCUUCUGGACAGGAAAAUAUGGAGAGUGCGUGCUUUGGAUUCAAGACUGGGA